UCGAGAAUCUUCCGCAAUGGGCGAAAGCCUGACGGAGCGACACCGCGUGCAGGAUGAAGGCUCUAGGGUUGUAAACUGCUGUCACAUACUAGGAAUGCUGUGCAGCUAAUAAGUGUACGGUUGACUAACGUGAAAGGAAGCACCGGCUAACUCCGUGCCAGCAGCCGCGGUAAUACGGAGGGUGCAAACGUUGUUCGGAAUUAUUGGGCAUAAAGAGCACGUAGGCGGUGCGGCAAGUCAGAUGUGAAAGCCCUCGGCUUAACCGAGGAAGUGCACCUGAAACUGCCACACUAGAGAACGGUUGGGGUGAGUGGAACUCCUGGUGGAGCGGUGAAAUGCGUAGAUAUCAGGAGGAACACCGGUGGCGAAAGCGGCUCACUGGACCGUUACUGACGCUGAGGUGCGAAAGCUAGGGGAGCGAACGGG
RNAcentral lists this ribosomal RNA (426 nucleotides) under uncultured bacterium. RNAcentral's name for it is "bacterial SSU rRNA". It matches the Rfam family "Bacterial small subunit ribosomal RNA", at positions 355 to 776 of the family's 1533-position model. The record is from RNAcentral.